Molecule: long non-coding RNA, 2393 nt
Filed under: Solanum tuberosum (potato)
Lineage: Eukaryota; Viridiplantae; Streptophyta; Magnoliopsida; Solanales; Solanaceae
Description: long non-coding RNA (STUB_LNC001527)
Source: RNAcentral
UGUCACGACCCGAUUUAUCAAGUCAUGAUGGCACCUACUAUAACCCACCAGUAGGUAAGCCAACCCGUAACCCGGAACAACAAGUAAUGGGUCUGAGGGUAGAAACUAAACAAGAGUAGGAAAUUAACAAUAUAAACAGGCGGAAUCAAACCAAAAACAUAUAUACAAAUAAAGAUCCCUCCCAGAACCUGGAAGUCACCAGUACAGAGCUACUACAAAAUGAGUACAAGUCCCAAAACUGGACAACAACAACUGGACUGUCUCGAAAGGAAAAAGACAAGUCUAUAUAUACAGAUGGAGACUGAAAUAGUACAAAACGCCAUGUGCUCACCCCCGUCUCCGGAUAAGUCUACUCCAAGCUCGAUCAACGCUGGCUACUAGUUCUCGGACCUGCAUCACAAAAUAGAUACAGAGCGUAGCAUGAGUACCGACUGUAGCUAAAACCAGAUCACAGGUAAGCUGGACCACGGACUCUAACCGGGUACUGUAGCUAAAACCAGAUCACAGGUAAGCUGGACCACGGACUCUAACCGGGUACUGUAGCUAAAACCAGAUCACAGGUAAGCUGGACCACGGACUCUAACCGGGUACUGUAGCUAAAACCAGAUCACAGGUAAGCUGGACCACGGACUCUAACCGGGUACUGUAGCUAAAACCAGAUCACAGGUAAGCUGGACCACGGACUCUAACCGGGUACUGUAGCUAAAACCAGAUCACAGGUAAGCUGGACCACGGACUCUAACCGGGUACUGUAGCUAAAACCAGAUCACAGGUAAGCUGGACCACGGACUCUAACCGGGUACUGUAGCUAAAACCAGAUCACAGGUAAGCUGGACCACGGACUCUAACCGGGUACUGUAGCUAAAACCAGAUCACAGGUAAGCUGGACCACGGACUCUAACCGGGUACUGUAGCUAAAACCAGAUCACAGGUAAGCUGGACCACGGACUCUAACCGGGUACUGUAGCUAAAACCAGAUCACAGGUAAGCUGGACCACGGACUCUAACCGGGUACUGUAGCUAAAACCAGAUCACAGGUAAGCUGGACCACGGACUCUAACCGGGUACUGUAGCUAAGCCUGGACAUAAGUAAGCUGGACCACGGACUCUAACCGGGUACUGUAGCUAAGAAUCAAUAUCCAACCAUACGUCGCGGGAAAUAUCACCAAACUGAUAACCUCAAAUAAUCAUUUUAGUCCGACCCUCAUAUACCCCAAAUCGCCGAGGAAGUAUCCAAUAGUCAGUAAGCUAGACCACGGACUUUAACCGGGUACUAUAACCGAUAAAAAACAGGGCAUUAUAGAUACAAGGUCAUAAGUUGAGUUACCGCCUAGCUAAGGCUCAAUCUAUCAGACUCAAGUCUGCUAUAUCAGUCUACAAGGAGCUGACCGUCCGAAACGACGUCGGAAGAAGUUCUACUGCUCAACGACAUCCGAAAUCUCGCAAGUCUAUGGCAACACUAGUCUAAGCCUAGACUAAGGCCAAACAUACUUUAAAUCAAUAUUAUCAUAUACACCACAAGUUAUGGAUAUUCAAUAAUAUCAAGAGACAUGCUGUCAUAAUCCAACACUUUCCCGAAAUAAGGUCUAAGGCAGAAAUUAUUGAAAUUUAGCAUGCUCGACACCCGACCCACGCCAUACUCAAGCAAAUCAAUAAACAAAUGCCUAAACAUGCUCAAUCUCACGAGAGAAAGCCAUAGCCUACCUGAAAGCCGAUCACGCGUGCUCCAACUCACGGUACCGGAUCUUUUCCCCUCCGAACGGUCUCCAAAUGCUUCCCCACUAACAACAGGUUAAUCACCUCGUCAUUACUAAUAUAUUGACACUAAAAUUAUAGUUUUCGGAGACGGACCCAAAAUCGGGUCUAAAAUAGGAUUGUGGAGCCCACAAUUGGAAUCUCGAAAACGAAUCCGUGGAAACGUCCCAAAUACCUUACUAAACUAAUACCCCAAAAUUUAGCACAACCAGAUGCCUAAAACAUAGCAAAUCAGCCACAACAAUUAAAAUGGGCAGUCCCUUGAUCACCAAAUUCUGGGAAAACGAGACCCUUUCAACCCAAACAGAUUUUACCACGACGAUUCUUGCGAAAAACUCUACAAGUUAGCCACAAGAAUGACUCAAAACGGACCUAAGAUGAUCAAGAUCUCACAUUUCAAAAUUCAACAACAAUUCAAUCCGGCAAUCACCCUGUCAGUGGCUAAAAUCGAUUCCUUACCUCAAACGAAGCCUCCCCUCGCGUUUCUGAGAUCACCGCUAGAUUCCCCACGAAAUUCUCUUGAAGUUAGCCUUUUGAAGGACCUAAUUUGGACUCAAAAUGAAGGAGAAAUCUUAUGUUGAAGUUGAGGGAAAAAAUGGACGAAAAUCGUCCUAAAAUCUGGAAAUUUCCAGAUUUCC